Molecule: long non-coding RNA, 1007 nt
Organism: Microplitis mediator
Lineage: Eukaryota; Metazoa; Arthropoda; Insecta; Hymenoptera; Braconidae
Exons: 3
Source: RefSeq, a predicted model, not a curated record
AGUACUUGCAGACUUGACACAUUUCUGUCUAGUGUCUGCUAGCUGGUAUAUUAUCUCCAGUUUCAGCUCCAGUCAAUAUAACUUUUAAAUGCCACAGUUUAUUUUAUUUUUUUCUCCCGGUUAAAUAUUCAAAAUAAAAAACCGCGAGGGAAAAAAUUUAAUCUCGUGCUAUUGUAUUCUGUAGAAAGACAUCUCGAUGCUUUGUCUUCUGGAUCUUUAUUUCUUUUUCGAGAACAAAAUGAAAGGGCGGAAGCGCGACACAGUAAUAUAUACGAUACGCAAAGUGAAAGCAGGAGCAGCAGCGAGAAGAGAGCAGAGAGCGACUGAUUUUGGCUCUCUUACAUUUGGUCGCGCGCGAUACGAAACUUGAGGUUGUACCGGGCUAAAUUAAUUUAGCUUAUGAUGAUUGCGGCAAAGGGUAGAGUAGAGAGGUAUCAGCUGUCUAAACGUUUGAGCGAAAAAAAAAAUAAUAAAAUAAAAUAACGAUAAUAAUAAUAAGGAUAAGGAUAAAAAUAUAUAUACAUUAAUGUGCUAUCAAAUAAACGAAAGUGAAAUCAAAUUUAUGACAAAAUCAUGGCCUUGAAUAUACAUUAACAUGGCGUAAUAAAAACGAAUGAAUGUGUGUAUGUGACCUUAUAAUAAAUGACUAUAUAGUAAAUGUGACAAGAGACAUUUGGGAAUUACCAAAAAUAUAACAUAUAUUAUAUGUACUUGUUAUUAAUUUAUAACAAAAAAAAAACAACAUUUAUUUGCCACAAAUAUUGUCUCAGACAUGAUUUAAAUUUUAAAAAAAUCCGCCAUUCAUAUAAAUUAAUGUAUAUCAACGUGUGAAUUUCAGUGUGAAAAUGUUAUAUUAUCUACAUACAAAGAAUUUAAAGAUUUUGCGUGACACGCACAUAUCCCACAUAUCGCACAGCCCAAAUGAUAAACAAAACCAGACUUACAAACUCAAAUGAUUCAGGUUUCGUCUACUUUUUAAAUUUUAUUGCACGACAAUAUCAAACUUC